Non-coding RNA from Cricetulus griseus (Chinese hamster), 501 nucleotides. Lineage: Eukaryota; Metazoa; Chordata; Mammalia; Rodentia; Cricetidae. The record is from the annotation of a RefSeq genome assembly.
AUGGGGUGGAGCUAGAUCAUUGUCUUCCUCCUGUCAGUAAUUACAGGUGUCCAUUCCCAAGUCCAGCUGCAGCAGUCUGGGCCUGAGAUUGUAAAGACAGGAGCCACGACACAGUUUUCCUGCAAGACUUCAGGGUACGCCGUCAUUGGCUACUAUAUUCACUGGGUGAAUCAGAUUCCUGGACAGGGCCUGCAGUGGAUUGGAAGAAUUUAUCCUGGAAUUGGUAAUACUGACUACAAUCAAAAGUUCCAGGGCAAGGCCACACUGACUGUAGACACAUCCUCCAGCACAGCCUACAUGGAGCUCAGCAGCCUGACAUCUGAGGACUCUGCAGUCUAUUACUGUGCAAGAGACACAGAGUUGCAACCACAUCCUGAGUGUGUCAGAAACCCGGGAGGAGCAGGAAGCUGCCCUGGGACCGACACGACAGAGAAGAUCAGCCUGGAGACUUGCUCAGAAAUAAUCAUUCUGAAUGUCCCUUUGUCAUUCACCGUCUUAUAA